GACGAACGCUGGCGGCGUGCUUAACACAUGCAAGUCGAACGGAAAGGCCCUGCUUUUGUGGGGUGCUCGAGUGGCGAACGGGUGAGUAACACGUGAGUAACCUGCCCUUGACUUUGGGAUAACUUCAGGAAACUGGGGCUAAUACCGGAUAGGAGCUCCUGCUGCAUGGGGGGGGUUGGAAAGUUUCGGCGGUUGGGGAUGGACUCGCGGCUUAUCAGCUUGUUGGUGGGGUAGUGGCUUACCAAGGCUUUGACGGGUAGCCGGCCUGAGAGGGUGAACGGCCACAUUGGGCCUGAGGUACGGCCCAGACUCCUACGGGAGGCAGCAGUGGGGAAUAUUGCACAAUGGGCGGAAGCCUGAUGCAGCAACGCCGCGUGCGGGAUGACGGCCUUCGGGUUGUAAACCGCUUUCGCCUGUGCCGAAGCGUGAGUGACGGUAAUGGGUAAAGAAGCACCGGCUAACUACGUG
Molecule: ribosomal RNA, 468 nt
Filed under: uncultured bacterium
Lineage: Bacteria
Description: partial 16S ribosomal RNA
Rfam family: Bacterial small subunit ribosomal RNA
Source: RNAcentral